GUGCCAGCAGCCGCGGUAAUACGUGGGGGGCAAGCGUUAUCCGGAAUUACUGGGUGUAAAGGGAGCGUAGACGGCUGUGCAAGUCUGGAGUGAAAGGCGGGGGCCCCCCCCCCGGACUGCUCUGGAAACUGUAUGGCUGGAGUGCAGGAGAGGUAAGCGGAAUUCCUAGUGUAGCGGUGAAAUGCGUAUAUAUUAGGAGGAACACCAGUGGCGAAGGCGGCUUACUGGACUGUAACUGACGUUGAGGCUCGAAAGCGUGGGGAGCAAACAGGAUUAUAUACCCUGGUACUCCACGCCGUAAACGAUGAUUACUAGGUGUCGGUGGGUAUGGACCCAUCGGUGCCGCAACAAACGCAGUAAGUAAUCCACCUGGGGAGUACGUUCGCAAGAAUGAAACUCAAAGGAAUUGACGGGGACCCGCACAAGGGGUGGAUCUUGUGUUUUAAUCCGAAGCACGCGAAGUACCUUACCCAGUCUUGACAUCUGGGAUGACAGGAACCGCACCCCUCCCCUUACUUCCCGCACAUCCAAAAUGGGUGGUGCAUGGUUGUCUUCAGCUC
RNAcentral lists this ribosomal RNA (560 nucleotides) under uncultured bacterium. RNAcentral's name for it is "bacterial SSU rRNA". It matches the Rfam family "Bacterial small subunit ribosomal RNA", at positions 505 to 1061 of the family's 1533-position model. The record is from RNAcentral.